This 467-nucleotide ribosomal RNA is filed under the name uncultured bacterium. Its description in RNAcentral is "partial 16S ribosomal RNA". It matches the Rfam family "Bacterial small subunit ribosomal RNA", at positions 29 to 507 of the family's 1533-position model. The record is from RNAcentral.
ACGAACGCUGGCGGCGUGCUUCACCCCUGCAAGUCGCACGGAAAGGCCCUGCUUUUGUGGGGUGCUCGAGUGGCGAACGGGUGAGUAACACGUGAGUAACCUGCCCUUGACUUUGGGAUAACUUCAGGAAACUGGGGCUAAUACCGGAUAGGAGCUCCUGCUGCAUGGUGGGGGUUGGAAAGUUUCGGCGGUUGGGGAUGGACUCGCGGCUUAUCAGCUUGUUGGUGGGGUAGUGGCUUACCAAGGCUUUGACGGGUAGCCGGCCUGAGAGGGUGACCGGCCACAUUGGGACUGAGAUACGGCCCAGACUCCUACGGGAGGCAGCAGUGGGGAAUAUUGCACAAUGGGCGGAAGCCUGAUGCAGCAACGCCGCGUGCGGGAUGACGGCCUUCGGGUUGUAAACCGCUUUCGCCUGUGACGAAGCGUGAGUGACGGUAAUGGGUAAAGAAGCACCGGCUAACUACGUG